Molecule: ribosomal RNA, 274 nt
Filed under: uncultured bacterium
Lineage: Bacteria
Description: partial 16S ribosomal RNA
Rfam family: Bacterial small subunit ribosomal RNA
Source: RNAcentral
AUACGGAGGGGGCUAGCGUUGUUCGGAAUUACUGGGCGUAAAGCGUACGUAGGCGGACUGAUCAGUUGGGGUUGAAAUCCCAGGGCUUAACCCUGGAACUGCCUUCAAUACUGUCAGUCUUGAGAUUGGAAGAGGUGAGUGGAAUUCCUAGUGUAGAGGUGAAAUUCAUAGAUAUUAGGAGGAACACCAGUGGCGAAGGCGGCUCACUGGUCCAAUACUGACGCUGAGGUACGAAAGCGUGGGGAGCAAACAGGAUUAGAAACCCCAGUAGUCC